UUCUAACCUACGAUAAUAUAUAUUUUUUAUAUUUGUUAUAUAAAAGUACAAUAAAUUAGUUUAUUAACAAAUCUACUGGUUAAAUUAAAAUAUACAGUAUACAGAUAUGAAAUAAGAGAAUGAUAAGAGCUUUUUAUGAAGAUAAAAUGGAGAAUACGACAAGAAAAAUGGAGAGAAAUAAGAUUUUCCUUUGGGAACAUGUGUACUUGCAUAGAAUUUCAUAAGAGAAUCUCACCGAUUGUACCUUGCUUUUCAAUGAAAGUGUGUGCCAAGAAAGAGUAAGCUGGAGCAACAAGAUUGGAUCCGCCAAAUGGUUUCUGCAUAUAAUUGUUGCCUUCAAAUCAUUUCUGCAAAUACCUCUUCAGAGAAUGAUAUGCUGUACCUCCCAAAUCUACUUAUUUCGAUGAUAUAAAGAUAAUUUUAUUCUUAAUGGUUGUUCCACACUGGUAGAAAUGUAUUAUUGUUAUGAGGAGAUGUAGUGAAUAAGGUUUUCUAUUGAUGUCUUCACUCUCAUUUUUUAUAAGAUACUUAUAGAGACAAUAGUAGCAAUCAUUUUAAAAAUAAUUUUGGAAUCAUACAAGACUUGGCUUAUUAACGAAGAUUCUAUAGGAAAAAGCGAAAAAACGACUUCUGCAAUUGAUAUAGGAUACAGAUAUGAAAUAAGACAGUGAUAAGAGCUUUUUACGAAGAUAAAAUGGAGAAAACACCAAGAAAAAUGGAGAGAAAUAAGAUUUUCUUUUGCGAAGAUGUGUACUUUAAUAGAAUUUCAUAACAAAAUCUCACCGAUUGUACUGUAUUUUCAAUGAGAGUGUGGGCCAAGAAAGAGUAAAGCUGGAGCAACAAGAUUGGAAUCCUGUUGAAAAAACGAAUCCGUCAAAUGGUUUCUGCUUAUAAAGUAGGAUAUUUGUUGUCUUCAACUCAUUUCUGCAAAUACCUUUUCAGAAAAUUAUACUUUCGAAUAUUCAGAUCCAUGGAAGCUAUGCUGUACCUCCCAAAUCUGCUUAUUUCGAUGAUAUAAAGAUAAUUUUAUUUUUAAUGGUUGUUCCACACUGGUAGAAAUGUGUUAUUGUUAUAAGGAGAUGCAGUAAAUAAGGUUUUCUAUUGAUGUCUUCACUCUCAUUUUUUAUAAGAUAUAGAGACAAUAGUAGCAAGCAUUUUAAAAAUAAUUUUGGAAUCAUACAAGACUUGGCUUAUUAACGACGAAUCUAUAGGAAAAAGCGAAAAAACGACUUCUACAAUUGAUACAGAUAUGAAAUAAUGCAGUGAUAAGUGCUGUUUAUGAAGAUAAAGUGGAGAAUACGCCAAGAAAAAUGGAGAGGAAUAAGAUUUUCUCUUGGGAAGAUGUGUACUUGCAUAGAAUUUCAUAAGAAAAUCUCACCGAUUGUACCCGGCUUUUCAAUGAAAGUGUGGGCCAAGUAAAAGUAAAGCUGGAGUUACAAGAUCGGAAUCCUGUUGAAAACACGGAUCCGCCAAAUGGUUUCUGCUUAUAAUUAUUGUUGCCUUCAAACUUUGCUUCAAAUCAUUUCUGCAAAUACCUCUUCAGAAAAUUAUACUUCCGAACAUUCAGAUCCAUGGAAGCUAUGCUGUACAUCCCAAAUCUGCUUUUUUCGAUGAUAUAAAGAUAAUUUUAUUCUUAAUGGUUGUUCCACACUGCUAGAAAUGUAUUAUUGUUAUGAGGAGAUGCAGUGAAUAAGAACCAACACUUUCUA
Long non-coding RNA from Sitophilus oryzae (rice weevil), 1709 nucleotides. RefSeq lists it as uncharacterized. NCBI's taxonomy places the organism in Eukaryota, Metazoa, Arthropoda, Insecta, Coleoptera, Curculionidae. The record is from RefSeq and is a predicted model, not a curated record. The transcript is spliced from 9 exons.